This 559-nucleotide long non-coding RNA is filed under the name Carica papaya (papaya). RNAcentral describes it as "long non-coding RNA (CPAP_LNC012101)". The record is from RNAcentral. Lineage: Eukaryota; Viridiplantae; Streptophyta; Magnoliopsida; Brassicales; Caricaceae.
GAACGACCUAGAUCCAUUCCCGCGCGCACGGACGGUCCAGAUUGCAUCGCGAUGGACGGCCCAUAUUUAAUCCCAAUUAAAUUGCGAUCGGACGGUCCAGAUUUAAUCUUGAUGGACGGUUGAGAUUAAAAGGCAAAGGGUAUAAAUAACCCCACCCACACCUAACCACAAAACCCUAGCCACCAGUGCCUCGCCGAAGAAGAAGAACUAGACGCCGGAGGAGCCGGCCGCCGCCACCCGCUGCUGCAUCGGAGAGGUUUCCGACCGCCAAUAGAGGUAAAUUUUCUCUUACUGGCUCGUUUUUCGAUGCUGAAUCCGCCUAUGGCCAAACCGGAGCCAAACCACCGGCCAAACAGCUGGAAAACCCAGCCGAAGUCCGGCGCCGCCGUCGCGACCCCCCUUUGUUUUUGCCUUCGAUAAAGCUCUUCCCGGCCUCCGUUCGAUGCAAAUUUUAUACCACCAUGAUUACUGUUCUUUUUUCUACAGGUUGAUCAGAGCCAAACAUCAAAACACGACUCACACCGGAGGAGCCGCCGCACCCGAAUGCAUUGCCGCCGAU